AUUGAACGCUAGCGGCAUGCUUUACACAUGCAAGUCGAACGAGUGGCGGACGGGUGAGUAAUAUAUCGGAACGUGCCCAAUAGCGGGGGAUAACUACUCGAAAGCGUGGCUAAUACCGCAUACUAUUGGAGCGGCCCAUAUCGGAUUGGCUAGUUGGUGGGGUAAAGGCUCACCAAGGCAACGAUCCGUAGCUGGUGUGAGAGGAUGACCAGCCACACUGGGACUGAGACACGGCCCAGACUCCUACGGGAGGCAGCAGUGGGGAAUGUGGUACAAUGGGGGAAACCCUGAUCCAGCCAUCCCGCGUGUAUGAGAAGGCCUUCGGGUUGUAAAGUACUUUUAGCAGAGAAGCGGUAUCUGCAGAAUAAGCACCGGCUAACUCCGUGCCAGCAGCCGCGGUAAUUC
Molecule: ribosomal RNA, 405 nt
Filed under: uncultured bacterium
Lineage: Bacteria
Description: partial 16S ribosomal RNA
Rfam family: Bacterial small subunit ribosomal RNA
Source: RNAcentral